GAUGAAGAACGUAGCGAAAUGCGAUAAGUAAUGUGAAUUGCAGAAUUCAGUGAAUCAUCGAAUCUUUGAACGCACAUUGCGCCCGCCAGUAUUCUGGCGGGCAUGCCUGUCUGAGCGUCAUUUCAACCCUCAUGCCCCUAGGGCGUGGUGUUGGGGAUCGGCCAAAGCCCGCGAGGGACGGCCGGCCCCUAAAUCUAGUGGCGGACCCGUCGUGGCCUCCUCUGCGAAGUAGUGAUAUUCCGCAUCGGAGAGCGACGAGCCCCUGCCGUUAAACCCCCAACUUUCCAAGGUUGACCUCAGAUCAGGUAGGAAUACCCGCCGAACUUAAGCAUAUCAAUAAGCGGAGGA
RNAcentral lists this unclassified non-coding RNA (348 nucleotides) under soil metagenome. Its description in RNAcentral is "partial contains 5.8S ribosomal RNA, internal transcribed spacer 2, and large subunit ribosomal RNA". The stretch from base 1 to 120 matches the Rfam family "5.8S ribosomal RNA", at positions 35 to 154 of the family's 154-position model. The record is from RNAcentral.